UACGUAGGUGGCGAGCGUUGUCCGGAUUUACUGGGCGUAAAGAGCGCGCAGGCGGCUGGUCAAGUCCGAUGUGAAAGCUCCCGGCUUAACUGGGAAAUUGCAUCGGAAACUGAUCGGCUGGAAGGUGGGAGAGGGUAGCGGAAUUCCCGGUGUAGUGGUGAGAUGCGUAGAUAUCGGGAGGAACACCAGUGGCGAAAGCGGCUACCUGGCCCAUUCUUGACGCUGAGGCGCGAAAGCUAGGGGAGCAAACGGG
Molecule: ribosomal RNA, 253 nt
Filed under: uncultured bacterium
Lineage: Bacteria
Description: partial 16S ribosomal RNA
Rfam family: Bacterial small subunit ribosomal RNA
Source: RNAcentral